Molecule: long non-coding RNA, 361 nt
Organism: Sesamum indicum (sesame)
Lineage: Eukaryota; Viridiplantae; Streptophyta; Magnoliopsida; Lamiales; Pedaliaceae
Source: RefSeq, a predicted model, not a curated record
UUCGCGUCCUUGGAUAUCUUGGCGUUCGCUGGAAGAGCCUUUUUCAUGAUUCUACUCACGUUGGCGAUGGGAAGGAACCUGUCUUGUUCUCGAGAUAUAAUCUUCGGACUGCUAAUUCAGACGGAGUCGAUGCAGUUGUGAGCUGGACUGAGAGAAGAACGCUACCCUUUUUCAGUAGAAAUUUGAAGGAGAAAAGCUGAAAUUUAACGUCGGGGCUAAAAACCAAAACCGAUUUAUCCCCCUGAAACAAAAGAGAAAUCAAUCGAAAAGCCAAUUGCGGACGAAAUUCAAUCUCAAUCAAUCACAGAUAGAAUUCGAGGGUUCCUUCCUGGUUGAAAUUCCAGUUUGACUAGCACAACAA